CGGCAUUUCCUCUUUUCUCGCGGUGCAUUGUGGGUAACGAGGCAAAGUCUCGCCUGUAUUUCACAAUGCAUUGUGGGUACCGAGGCAUUUCAUUGAAAACCAGGAAGUCACUUCCUCUCCUCGCGAUGGAUUGUGGGUAACGAGGCGGAAGCAACUACAAUUCCCGCAUUGCAUUGUGGGUACCGAGGCACUCCCUAAAUUAUACACCUGCGACAGGUGCGCGGCCACGCCCGAACCAGUUCCAAACCAGUAUAAACCAGUUCAAACCAGUCCGGGAGCGCAGCCAUNNNNNNNNNNNNNNNNNNNNUGGCGGCGGUGGUGCUGGCGGUGGCGCUCGGGGCGGUUUUGGUGGCCCUCGGGGGAGUUUUGGUGGCCGCGCUGGCCCGGAGGGGCCCGGACGGGCCGAGGUUGGCGGUGCCGGGACGGGCGGUGGCGCACAGGGGAGGUGCGGGGGAGAAGAUCGAGAACACCAUGGAGGCCUUUGAGAACGCGGUCUCGCAGGGCUGCGAUUGGCUGGAGCUGGACGUGCGCCGCACCCGCGAUGGCGUCGUCGUCGUCUGUCACGACCGGGAGCUGUCGCGACAGAGCGGCCGCCAUCUUGAAAUCAGCCAGACCGAUUACAAGGUCAGUUAAUUAGCGAUUAAUUAGUGCUAAUUAACGGGGAUUAAGGGAUUGGGGUAAUUAGGGGUUAAUUAAGGGGUAAUGGGUAAUUGGGGCGGGAAUUAAUAGGGAUGUGGGGUUAAUUAGGGAGAGUUAAUUAGUGGUGAUUGAUGGAUGUUGGUCGUAAUUAGUCAUAAUCAUGUGUUAAUUAAUGUUAAUAAAUAUUAAUUGGUGAUACUUUAUGGUAAUUAG
This 852-nucleotide long non-coding RNA is filed under the name Serinus canaria (Common canary). RNAcentral describes it as "lncRNA (ENSSCAG00000015731.1)". The record is from RNAcentral. Lineage: Eukaryota; Metazoa; Chordata; Aves; Passeriformes; Fringillidae.